GGUUAAGCGACUAAGCGUACACGGUGGAUGCCCUGGCAGUCAGAGGCGAUGAAGGGCGUGCUAAUCUGCGAUAAGCGCCGGUAAGGUGAUAUGAACCGUUAUAACCGGCGAUACCCGAAUGGGGAAACCCAGUGUGAUUCGUCACACUAUCAUUAACUGAAUCCAUAGGUUAAUGAGGCGAACCGGGGGAACUGAAACAUCUAAGUACCCCGAGGAAAAGAAAUCAACCGAGAUUCCCCCAGUAGCGGCGAGCGAACGGGGAGGAGCCCAGAGCCUGAAUCAGCAUGUGUGUUAGUGGAAGCGUCUGGAAAGGCGCGCGAUACAGGGUGACAGCCCCGUACACAAAAGCGCAUGUGCUGUGAGCUCGAUGAGUAGGGCGGGACACGUGGUAUCCUGUCUGAAUAUGGGGGGACCAUCCUCCAAGGCUAAAUACUCCUGACUGACCGAUAGUGAACCAGUACCGUGAGGGAAAGGCGAAAAGAACCCCGGCGAGGGGAGUGAAAAAGAACCUGAAACCGUGUACGUACAAGCAGUGGGAGCCCCACCACUAAGCCAGUGGUGAACUCCACAUACGCAUCCUUUGCUGAGGAUACGGUUAACGGAGCGAAAGCGACGUUCAACCUCAAAAGAAGCAGAGGGGGCUUAGUGGUGGGGUGACUGCGUACCUUUUGUAUAAUGGGUCAGCGACUUAUAUUCUGUAGCAAGGUUAACCGCAUAGGGGAGCCGGAGGGAAACCGAGUCUUAAUUGGGCGUUAAGUUGCAGGGUAUAGACCCGAAACCCGGUGAUCUAGCCAUGGGCAGGUUGAAGGUUGGGUAACACUAACUGGAGGACCGAACCGACUAAUGUUGAAAAAUUAGCGGAUGACCUGUGGCUGGGGGUGAAAGGCCAAUCAAACCGGGAGAUAGCUGGUUCUCCCCGAAAGCUAUUUAGGUAGCGCCUCGUGAAUUCAUCUCCGGGGGUAGAGCACUGUUUCGGCUAGGGGGCCAUCCCGGCUUACCAACCCGAUGCAAACUGCGAAUACCGGAGAAUGUUAUCACGGGAGACACACGGCGGGUGCUAACGUCCGUCGUGAAGAGGGAAACAACCCAGACCGCCAGCUAAGGUCCCAAAGUCAUGGUUAAGUGGGAAACGAUGUGGGAAGGCCCAGACAGCCAGGAUGUUGGCUUAGAAGCAGCCAUCAUUUAAAGAAAGCGUAAUAGCUCACUGGUCGAGUCGGCCUGCGCGGAAGAUGUAACGGGGCUAAACCAUGCACCGAAGCUGCGGCAGCGAACGUAUCACCCAAGACAACUUUACGGAGUUGACGAUUGACGGAGCGAAGCGACGUCAAAGCGUUCAUUAAAGUCGAGUUGGCUUAGGGAUACGUUCGUUGGGUAGGGGAGCGUUCUGUAAGCCUGUGAAGGUGGCCUGUGAGGGUUGCUGGAGGUAUCAGAAGUGCGAAUGCUGACAUAAGUAACGAUAAAGCGGGUGAAAAGCCCGCUCGCCGGAAGACCAAGGGUUCCUGUCCAACGUUAAUCGGGGCAGGGUGAGUCGACCCCUAAGGCGAGGCCGAAAGGCGUAGUCGAUGGGAAACGGGUUAAUAUUCCCGUACUUGGUGUUACUGCGAAGGGGGGACGGAGAAGGCUAUGUUGGCCGGGCGACGGUUGUCCCGGUUUAAGCGUGUAGGCUGGUUUUCCAGGCAAAUCCGGAAAAUCAAGGCUGAGGCGUGACGACGAGGCACUACGGUGCUGAAGCAACAAAUGCCCUGCUUCCAGGAAAAGCCUCUAAGCAUCAGGUAACAUCAAAUCGUACCCCAAACCGACACAGGUGGUCAGGUAGAGAAUACCAAGGCGCUUGAGAGAACUCGGGUGAAGGAACUAGGCAAAAUGGUGCCGUAACUUCGGGAGAAGGCACGCUGACACGUAGGUGAAGUGAUUUACUCAUGGAGCUGAAGUCAGUCGAAGAUACCAGCUGGCUGCAACUGUUUAUUAAAAACACAGCACUGUGCAAACACGAAAGUGGACGUAUACGGUGUGACGCCUGCCCGGUGCCGGAAGGUUAAUUGAUGGGGUCAGCGCAAGCGAAGCUCCUGAUCGAAGCCCCGGUAAACGGCGGCCGUAACUAUAACGGUCCUAAGGUAGCGAAAUUCCUUGUCGGGUAAGUUCCGACCUGCACGAAUGGCGUAAUGAUGGCCAGGCUGUCUCCACCCGAGACUCAGUGAAAUUGAACUCGCUGUGAAGAUGCAGUGUACCCGCGGCAAGACGGAAAGACCCCGUGAACCUUUACUAUAGCUUGACACUGAACAUUGAGCCUUGAUGUGUAGGAUAGGUGGGAGGCUUUGAAGUGUGGACGCCAGUCUGCAUGGAGCCGACCUUGAAAUACCACCCUUUAAUGUUUGAUGUUCUAACGUGGACCCGUAAUCCGGGUUGCGGACAGUGUCUGGUGGGUAGUUUGACUGGGGCGGUCUCCUCCUAAAGAGUAACGGAGGAGCACGAAGGUUGGCUAAUCCUGGUCGGACAUCAGGAGGUUAGUGCAAUGGCAUAAGCCAGCUUGACUGCGAGCGUGACGGCGCGAGCAGGUGCGAAAGCAGGUCAUAGUGAUCCGGUGGUUCUGAAUGGAAGGGCCAUCGCUCAACGGAUAAAAGGUACUCCGGGGAUAACAGGCUGAUACCGCCCAAGAGUUCAUAUCGACGGCGGUGUUUGGCACCUCGAUGUCGGCUCAUCACAUCCUGGGGCUGAAGUAGGUCCCAAGGGUAUGGCUGUUCGCCAUUUAAAGUGGUACGCGAGCUGGGUUUAGAACGUCGUGAGACAGUUCGGUCCCUAUCUGCCGUGGGCGCUGGAGAACUGAGGGGGGCUGCUCCUAGUACGAGAGGACCGGAGUGGACGCAUCACUGGUGUUCGGGUUGUCAUGCCAAUGGCACUGCCCGGUAGCUAAAUGCGGAAGAGAUAAGUGCUGAAAGCAUCUAAGCACGAAACUUGCCCCGAGAUGAGUUCUCCCUGAGACUUAGAGUCUCCUGAAGGAACGUUGAAGACGACGACGUUGAUAGGCCGGGUGUGUAAGCGCAGCGAUGCGUUGAGCUAACCGGUACUAAUGAACCGUGAGGCUUAACCUU
RNAcentral lists this ribosomal RNA (3089 nucleotides) under Salmonella enterica subsp. enterica. RNAcentral describes it as "23S ribosomal RNA". It matches the Rfam family "Bacterial large subunit ribosomal RNA". The record is from RNAcentral. Lineage: Bacteria; Pseudomonadati; Pseudomonadota; Gammaproteobacteria; Enterobacterales; Enterobacteriaceae.